UAUCACAGACAAAUUAUCAAAAGGCAUUCUUCAGAAAAGAAAAGAGCUUCAGAGCUCGUGACCUAACGAACCCCACAGCCUAGUAACACUAUCAAUGCUCACCGAGAACGUUGUGCCUCCUCUUACAAUUUCUGUUGCUGCGUUUCUUAUCGACAUCCGAAGAAGGGAAGCAGUCCAGCUCCAUUUCCCUAUAUUGGCAAGAAAACCAAAGUUGCAGUAUGAUCAAGCUUCGGUCAAGGGACAAUUGUGUAAACAUCUUUAAGUGAUACAUGAUUUUGAUAACUAUCGAAUCGAAAGAAAUGAGAGAAACUUUUCCUAA
This is a long non-coding RNA of Brassica oleracea var. oleracea, 319 nucleotides long. RefSeq lists it as uncharacterized. The record is from RefSeq and is a predicted model, not a curated record. NCBI's taxonomy places the organism in Eukaryota, Viridiplantae, Streptophyta, Magnoliopsida, Brassicales, Brassicaceae. The transcript has 3 exons.